RNAcentral lists this long non-coding RNA (3584 nucleotides) under Fragaria vesca (wild strawberry). RNAcentral's name for it is "long non-coding RNA (FVES_LNC000739)". The record is from RNAcentral. Lineage: Eukaryota; Viridiplantae; Streptophyta; Magnoliopsida; Rosales; Rosaceae.
UAAACUUUUACAAUAUUAGUGAAGAUAUAUUUCUUCAGAUUUCUGUCUUGUUACUUUUCCUUUUAAGCUACUAGUAAUUCCGCGACUAGGGGCUAACCUGCUUGGUUUAUGUACCAAGUUGGUAUCAGAGCUCCUCUGAUCCGGGAGGGGUUUUUAGUGGUGUAUGGUCCUUACUUGAACACAGUACAGAAAGCUAGGCAAGGUUCUUGUUUCUUGGGAGCAAACCAAGAAGUCAAGAAGGAAGAAGAUGGGUGACGAGACAUCAGACAAGGCGAGGCUUCAUGCGGUGGAGAAACAGCUGACGUUGGUAACUGCGACUCUAACAGAACUGGCCAAUCUCAUCAAACAGGAGAAGAAGGUUGAUCCUACAAAGAAACCAAAGAAGGCUCCUGAAUCAGGUGAUGAGUCAGGCGAAACAGAUACAGACAGAGACACCGACGAUGACGGCGAAACUUCACAGCAAGGAGCCAAGGAUUCCCUUCGAAAUCUUAAGAUUGAUUUCAAGGUUGAAAUCUCUAUGUAUGACGGAAGCGUCAACGUAGAGAAACUGGACGACUGGAUUGAACAUCUAGAGACCUAUUUUACUCUUUAUGGCUAUUCGUCAAGAGAGAAGAUUAUUUUCGCAACCCUGAAACUAUCGGUCCAUGCUCUUUCUUGGUGGAAGUCCUAUCGGAAACACAACAAAGGGGAGGAUGUGUCAUGGAAGAAGUUUAAAGAGUUGUUGAGGAAACAGUUCUACCCAGUUGGUUUUCUGGAAGAACGAUGGAACAGAUGGUAUAACUUACGACAGAGAUUCAAUCAGUCCGUACAAGAAUAUACUACUGAAUUCCAGAACCUAGCUAUGGUUUUGGACAUCGUACUAGAAGAUUAUUCGGUGUACAUCAAGUUUGUGUCGGGGUUGAACGAAUACAUUCGUAAGGAGUUGAGACUGUUCACAAUGGAGUCCAUUGCCGAAGCCAGUGUGAAAGCAAUUGCUAUUGAGAGCAAACUCAGAAAGGGCGAAGCAAAAGGAGAGGCGAAGCUACCUGGGAACAAGACUAACAAUUCGGGUGUGAAGAAGGAGGAGCCAAAACGGGGAAAGAACGAGUCAGAAGGGAAGGAGAGUUCGACAUGCAGUCACUGUGGUGCAACCAAUCAUGCAGUAGAGAAGUGCUGGGUGAAAUAUCCACACCUUAAACUGAGAGGCUUGAGGCAGCAAGAAGCAAAGAAGAAGGCAGCAUUGAUCACAGGACCAACGGAAGUUCCAGGCAUGAAUGAACCAAACACCAGACUUAACCUUAUGGCAAGAAAGACUCCUAUAGCCGAAGAGGAAGAUCCUAGGGAACAGCUCUUCGUUGUUAAGUUACAAGUGAAGACUAGUCUAGUUGAUGCCAUAGUUGAUCCGGGAAGUCAGAAAAACCUCAUCUCGGAAGCCUUGGUUCAAAAGCUGGGUCUCAAGACGGUCAAGCAUCCAAAGCCCUACCCUUUGGGAUGGAUACAGAAGGAAGCUGGUUUGAGUGUAGUUAAUCAGUGUACUUUCAAGUUCGCACUACACGAGUCUUACAUCGACGAAGUGACGUGUGACUUGGUUCCUUUGGAUGUUUUCAGGUAAUUCUGGGUAAUCNNNNNNNNNNNNNNNNNNNNCCUUGCAAGAAGACCAGUUACAGGGGCUGGUGCAGCUAAGUUAUUCUUUGAGAAUGUCUGGAAGCAUUUUGGGUUGCCUAGUUCGAUUAUUUCUGAUCAUGACAGCAGGUUUCUUGGUCACUUUUGGGAUUCUUUGUGGGGAAUGAUGGAUACACGCCUAAAAAGAAGUACAGCCUUUCAUCCACAAACGGAUGGCCAGACUGAAGUAGUUAACAGAACUAUGGUGCAUCUAUUGCGGGGAUACAAUGCUAAGCAUCCGAAGACUUGGGAUGAGAGUCUUCCGUAUUUACAGUUUGCUUUCAACAGGGCUGUUCAUAGUUCUUCUGGGACAUCUCCAUUUGAAGCUUGUUCUGGCUACUUACCGCCAAGUCCGUUUGAUAUGGUUUUUACUGUAGGUACGGAUCAUCAUCGGAAAGUGGCUAUUGAGAGACUAAAUGCUCAGAAGUUUUUAGAGAAAAUCAGUAAGAUACAUGCGAUUGUUGAAGCUCAGUUACAGAAGUCCCAGGCACGGUACAAGGCCAAGCAUGAUAAGCACCGCAUACCUUGUAACUUUGGUGUUGGAGUAUUUGGUCUGGUUGAAGUUGAGCAAGGAACGUUUGAAAGGUGAAGGUAAGAAGUUGAAGCCACUUCGGUACGGUCCUUUCCGUAUUCUGCAGCAGAUUGGCGACAAUGCCUUCAGGCUCGACUUGCCGCCAUAUUUGGGCAUGUAUUCAGUUAUCAAUGCUGAGUACUUGAAGUUGUUUGAACCACCAUUGCUUGAUGAUGAUGGGGAUGACAAGGUUGUUUUACCACCAGUUGAUGACUUGUGGUUUAACAGAGAGGAGCCAUUAAAAGAGGAUUGCAUUUUGGAGCAGAAAGUGACAAAGACACGUCAAGGGGAACAAGCCGUAUUCCGUAUUGGACGCGCCGGUCAAGUUCCUAGUCGAUCUAAAUGGUUCAACAACGAAAAGGGAACUCUUGAGUUUCCUCAUCUCCAGUUUUAACUUAAACAGGAGUUUAAGUUUCUAGAAGGGGGAGCCAUGAUACAGGUGUAUCCGAAUCCUACUAGGAACUUAGUUAGUUUUCAUAGUUAACCAUGUCAGGAAUUCUGUUUCUUACUUAGAUUAGGAAUAGUCUUCAGGUUAGUUAUGGAUUCUAGUUCUAUAAAUAAGAGAUGUUUAGUUAGAACAAAACAUAGACGAAACAGAAAGUAAACCUUCUGUUUAGAGAAUAUUGUAGAGUUGUAAACUUUUACAAUAUUAGUGAAGAUAUCUUUCUUCAGAUUUCUGUCUUGUUACUUUUCCUUUUAAGCUACUAGUAAUUCCGCGACUAGGGGCUAACUUGCUUGGUUUCUGUACCAAAAAGUAGAAGAACUGUGAGUAACGAAUUGAAAGGAAGUAGAUCGAAGAACACAAACCUGAUUGAGGUGAGUGACGGUGAGGUGGAGGUUGGAGAGAGAAGGAGGAUGACGCCGUCGAAGAAGAAGCUUUCGGGUACGGAGAAGAGGUGACGGCCGAGGACAGUGGUCGAGGAGAGUGAGGGGUUUGGUGGAGGAGAGAUGAAGAAGUGGGAAGAAUAGGGUUUUGAGAAAGAACUGGAUUUGGGAAAGAUGUUUGGGCGCCUAGAUAUUUGUUGAAAAUUUUCCAACUUUUGGGUGGAAAGUUGAUUGACCACCUAAUCUUGGUUUCAAAUUGCUCCAAAUUUUGAGUCGAAAAGUUGACCGCCUAAUCUUGGCCGCUAGCAAAAAAAAUAUUCAUAAAAAAUAAUACAAAUGGAAGGAAAUAAUUAUGAGAAACCACUCAUAUUUAGCAACAAAUCCUUAUUAAUUAAAUAAAAUAAAAGUUUACUAACACAUACUUAAAUACAAGAACUAAUUUCAGUUUACCCCUAUCAACUUUAGGUUGAUCAUCACGUUAGACCUUCUUCUUUCAAUUUCAUCAAAAACACCCCUCAACUUCCAAUUUUCAUCAGCCGCGCAUGUC